AUUUAUCCUGAAAUCUUCAGUGUUAGUCUUUCUACUUGGAUGAAUUUGAACAAAUUAGGUGAAGGAUUCAUUUAUUUUUACCUUUGUUUACUUGUUUUUAAAGAUUUAUGGGGAGAGAGAAGAGAUAUCCCAUGGUUUAUUCGAUGAUUAUUAUAGUUUCUAAAUUACAGAUAUUCCCCUAUGAGCAAUUUGAAUAUCACAUAAGCCAAAAUGAAAACUCAAAACUUCUUUCCUACAUCUUCCUUCCCUUGAAGAUUUUAGUUAAUCCUUCGCGGUAAAAUCCAACGAGAUAGAAUAGAUUGUAGAGAGGAUUUUAUUUUGAGAAGCAUAAGACAUAUGAGUUCUUUAUAGCUUUAUGAUCAUCAUCAUUUCCGAAAUAUUAUAAGUCUCCAAAGCUUUUCUCCCCCGAUGAGAAGUCUAUAACCCUUAAAAAGAUUCUGAAACUCAACUUUUUUUAAGAAUCAAAAUUCUUAAUUAUAUAUGGAAGCUAUUGAUUUGAGAACAACGAAGUAAUCAGUGUAAAGAGUGAUAGAUUCGAGUUAGAAGAAGCAUGAGAAGAAAAUAGGUUGAUGAAAGAUCGAAUUCUGCAAAAAAUUUCUAAGGAAGUUUUUAUUUAUUUUUAAAGUCUU
RNAcentral lists this long non-coding RNA (629 nucleotides) under Arabidopsis lyrata. RNAcentral's name for it is "long non-coding RNA (ALYR_LNC002699)". Lineage: Eukaryota; Viridiplantae; Streptophyta; Magnoliopsida; Brassicales; Brassicaceae. The record is from RNAcentral.